AAGGCUUGACAUGGACCGGACCGCCGCAGAGAUGUGGUUUCCCCUUUUGGGGCCGGUUCACAGGUGGUGCAUGGUUGUCGUCAGCUCGUGUCGUGAGAUGUUGGGUUAAGUCCCGCAACGAGCGCAACCCUCGUUCCAUGUUGCCAGCGCGUAAUGGCGGGGACUCAUGGGAGACUGCCGGGUCAACUCGGAGGAAGGUGGGGACGACGUCAAAUCAUCAUGCCCCUUAUGUCUUGGGCUUCACG
This 245-nucleotide ribosomal RNA is filed under the name uncultured bacterium. Its description in RNAcentral is "partial 16S ribosomal RNA". It matches the Rfam family "Bacterial small subunit ribosomal RNA", at positions 976 to 1220 of the family's 1533-position model. The record is from RNAcentral.